AAGUGUAAGUUCAGGCAACGAAACUGCGAACAGCUCAUUAAUACGCUCAGAACCUAUUUGGUUACGGCCCAGACGGGUCCAACAUGGAUAGCAGCAGUAAUUCUGGUGCUAAUACAUGCAGUUCAACCAUCUUAAGCGAGGUAAGAUGAGGACAUGACCGAUUGGCGUACCAUACGGUUGAGCGCCCUAUCAGCUAGUACGUAGUGUCUCUUACUACGUAGGCUGUCACGGGUAACGGGCGGUUAUCGUCGGACUGCCGGAGAAGGCGCCUGAGAGACAGCGGCUAUACCCAUGGGUAGCAGCAGGCGCGUAACUUAGCCACUCAACAAUGUUGGAGCUGGUAACAGCCAGUGAAUUGGCGUCGCAAGACCCAUUUCCAGGAUUUAGUAUUAAAAACUAAGUGAAAACAGGAGAGGGCCAGUCUGGUGCCAGCAGCUGCGGUAAUUCCAGCUCUCCGAGUUUGCUCCCAAUGCUACACUUAAAACGCCCGUAGUCUGAGUGAGAAGCGCGAGUAGCGCGUUCACCGUGAAUAAAUCAGGAUGCUUAGCGUAGUUCUCAACUGAAUGACUAAGCGCGGUAUGGAUUCUUUACCCGUAUGGGUGAGAUCAAUGAGAGCCAUCGGGGCCCGACCUACCUGGCGGCGAGGGGCGGAAUCUGUUGACCCGCCGGGGAGGAACGAAUGCGAAGGCAUCGGGCUAGAGGGUAUCUGUCGACCAAGGGCGAGAGCCGCAGUAGCCAACCGGAUUAGAGACCCGGGUAGUUGCGGCCUUAAACGAUGCCGACAGGGCCUCGUCCUGGAGGGCGGGGUUCGAGGAGAAAUCAUAGUCUCUGGGCUGUGGGGGAACUACGACCGCAAGGCUGAAACUUGAAGGAAUUGACGGAAGGGCACACCAGGGGUGGAGCUUGUGGCUCAAUCAGACUCAACACGGAGAAACUUACCAGGACAAGAUAUUGUUAAUGACUGACCAGCUAAAGACUGUUCAGGAUAUGAUUUUUGGUGGUGCAUGGCCGUUGGUGGUGCGUGGAUUGAUCUGUCAUGCGUCGAUUCAGAUAACGAGCGAGACGACCACCGGCAACCUAGGCCAACGCACUCUCGUGCGUAUGGUCUUCUUGCCGGGACUCCCGGCGUCUUAAGCCGGCGGAAGAGGGUCGCAAUAACAGGUCCGUGAUGUCCUUUAGAUGCUCUGGGCUGCACGCGCGCUACAAUGCUGGGGCCAAAGGGUUGCAAGACCGAAAGGCUAUGCUACUCCCGUAGUCCCCAGCGUAGUUAGGAUCGAGGGUUGUAAUCACCUUCGUGAAUCAGGAAUCCCUUGUAAACGUGUAUCAACAGUGCACGUUGAAUACGUCCCUGCCCUUUGUACACACCGCCCGUCGCUCCUACCGAUUGGAUGGAUCGGUGAAGCUAUUGGAGGCCUCGGCCGAAGGUAGUUGAGCCCAUCGAUUUA
This 1445-nucleotide ribosomal RNA is filed under the name Holomastigotoides oxyrhynchus. Its description in RNAcentral is "SSU rRNA". It matches the Rfam family "Eukaryotic small subunit ribosomal RNA". Lineage: Eukaryota; Parabasalia; Holomastigotoidida; Holomastigotoididae. The record is from RNAcentral.